Zeugodacus cucurbitae (melon fly) is the source of this 2466-nucleotide long non-coding RNA. RefSeq lists it as uncharacterized. The transcript is spliced from 3 exons. The record is from RefSeq and is a predicted model, not a curated record. Lineage: Eukaryota; Metazoa; Arthropoda; Insecta; Diptera; Tephritidae.
UGAUGCAUCGUACAUUCGCAAAGGGGCAUCACAGUAUUAUUACACUAUUCUACAAUGAAAAUCUGACGAAAGAUAUCCAAACAUUUGCAAUUACUGCUGAGAUCCAUAACAACCGGCAUUUAACUUUGUCGAAUGGAGCCUUUUAAGUUUUGGGUUGAACCGCAAAACAUCUGACAUACUACCAUUCGUUACGUUCCAACGAACUGAGGGUAUUCCUGUUAUGGAUAGAGUCUUAAUGCAGACAUUUCAAACGACUAAUGUUUCAAAAACCCAGUGGGGUUUAUUUCUCUAUUUGUACUUGUCUUUAUGUUGAUAUAGAGCCAUAUAACCUAGACUGAUUUUCCUAAUUUAAUUAUCUAGCGUUCUACUAGAAGACAAGUACAAGAAUCAGCUUCCAAAACUGUUCCUAUUAAAUGUAUAUGUUACCAGUAGUCACAGGGGCUUUCUCCUUCUUUUCCAUGACUUAGAUCUAAGACCUUUACUAGUUAAAAACUGGUAUAAAAAUUUUAGUCGGAAUUUAACAAAAAUUGUGAACUACCGAUACAAUUUUGAAAAAGUUUAAAAAUCUAUCUGCUCUUUGAUGACUAAAUCCAUUUCUUACUGUUUCUCUAAUAAGAAACUUGUUUAUAUUGCUUAAGUAUAACAGUGUAAAGCUACGAAUACAUCGAAAGAAACUGAUAACAAUUUAAUUGUUUACAUUAUCACUAAUCAUACGUAACAUAUUUAGAACUAAUAUAUAUUUAUUAGAGUGAAAUUUUAUUCAAAAGUUUAGUUUCCUCAUUGCGAACCGUUAUCAUCGACGCUUAGCUCUUAUAAAGGACUUCAAUUCCGGCACAUAAAAUUAUAUUUCUAAAUAAAUAUAGGUAACAAAAAUUUAUAGUAAAAAUCUAAGCUAGAGGAUGAAUCUAAAUAAGAGGCGUAUAUUUGAAAAAAAAAAAAAUUGGCCCCUAGGCUCGGUCACAGACGGGGACUAUAUCACAAAAAAAUUAUUACAAUCAGCUGACAACCUUCAAAUGUGUUUUCAUCAUAGAACACCUCUCAAAAAUCAAUGGGACCUCAUGGGACAGUUUAGGAUUUACAGUAGCUUCUAUUUGGUGAAUAAUGGAAAAGAACUUUUCAAAAUAAAGAAGAAACUCCAGUUUUUUCUCAAAAGAAAAAUUAUAACAAAAUUGUUGAGACGUUCGGAGACAGUUUGAACUAGUAGAACCUUCUUUUUGUUGAAUAAUUGAAAAUGAUGUCACACCAAUUGUUGAAGACAGUCGUCCAAACAAAAGUCUAAACGUCAAGCGUUUGAUCAAGAGUCGAAUUAAAUCAUAUAAAAUAUGUCUCUAAAAAUUUAUAUCGGAACAGAUGAUAUUGAUAUCAUCGGAAGCAACAACCGUUUGUUCUGCUUUUUUCCAGACUUGAUAAGGAAGCGAAUCGUAUGGUUCUGGUGGUGAAUGAGGACAAGACGAAAUAUCUCCUAACACCAAGCAAACAGUCAGCGCACUCGCGUUUUGGCUCCCACGUCACUGUUGACAGUCAUAACUUUGAAGUUGUAGAUAGUUGCGUCUACUUGAGAACCAGCAUUAACAACUCCAACAAUGUCAGCCUCGAAUUCCAACGCAGAAUCACUCUUGCCAACAGGUGCUACUUCGGUCUGAGUAGGCAAUUGAAAAGUAAAGUCCUCUCUCGACGAACCAAAAUCAAACUCUACAAGUCGCUUAUCAUUCCCGCCCUGCUUUAUGGUGCAGAAGCUAGGACGAUGUCAUCAUCAGAUGAGACGGCACUAGGAGUUUUCGAGAGGAAAAUUUUGCGCAAGAUUUAUGGUCCUCUAAACAUUGGUAAAGGCGAAUACCGCAGACGAUGGAACGUUGAGCUGUAGGAUUUAUACAGCGACAUUGACAUAGGCCAGCGAAUAAAAAGACAGUGGCUACGAUGGCUAGGGCAUGCUGUACGAAUGGAUGAAAACACUCCAGCUCUGAAAGUGUUCAAUGCAUUGCCAGCUGGGAGAAGCCGCGGAAACAGACAACCUCCAUUCAGAUGGAAAGACCAAGUGGAAAGUGACCUGGCGUCACUUCAUUGAUACCCUUGUUUCGACUGUAUAGAAUUCCUUUAAAAGGAAUAUACAUGGUUAAAAUCAUGCAUUAAGAAAUACUCCAUAAAUCUCCAAAACUCUCUCACUUAGGGCCGGAAUUUUUAAAAUAGAUGUACUUUAGAGUUUUAAAUUCAAAUUCGAAAUCUUUAGUAGUACAUUUUCCAAAUAUAAGCCUAAGUUAGAUAAUUCAUUAAAUUAGCUAUAAAUUAUUUUUAAUAUAUUUUCAAGAACUUCGAAACAUUAAAAACAUAUGAUAAGCCUUAGUAUUAGAAUAUUUCUUAAUUUAGUUAUAAUUUAUUUCUAAUAUAAUUUUCAUUUUAAUUUUUUUGCAAGAACUUCGAAAAUUUUCGAACAUAAAAAAUAUGUAUAAGCCAUUUUUAGAUUAAUCC